GUUAUACAAAUUGUUAUUAUUACAAUUAGAUGGAUAAAGUGAAUAAGCGAACAAUUAAAAUUAAAUAUUAAAUUUUGUUUAAUUUUAUAUCCGUGAAUCCUAUUUUGUUACUCUGGCCCAAGAUGACAGUUUGCUUCCACAAGGAACGUCAUAUAUUUUUAACAUUAACAUGUUUUGUUCAUGCAUGUUCCUUUGCAUAUGCAUUUUUUGUAAAGUUCCUAAAUAUUCUAAAACAAUUGUCCUCCCACAUUAUGUUUACUUCCGAUAACUUCAAUUUCAAUGAGCAUACUGGGCUGUAAUAAAUGAAUUACUGACAUGCUAAGUACAGGAGAUUAACAGAUUAAAUAAGCCUGAUUUUUUACAAAUAGUUAAAAUAUUAAGUUUUUAUUUCAAUAACUAUUCAACUUUUUAUGUUCAUUUGAGAUAUAAGUUAUAUUGAUUU
Molecule: long non-coding RNA, 442 nt
Filed under: Mytilus galloprovincialis (Mediterranean mussel)
Lineage: Eukaryota; Metazoa; Mollusca; Bivalvia; Mytilida; Mytilidae
Source: RNAcentral